This 428-nucleotide long non-coding RNA is filed under the name Dasypus novemcinctus (nine-banded armadillo). RNAcentral describes it as "lncRNA (ENSDNOG00000049982.1)". The record is from RNAcentral. Lineage: Eukaryota; Metazoa; Chordata; Mammalia; Cingulata; Dasypodidae.
CUCACCUUCCUCCUCUCUAUGUUUAGGUCAGCCUUGUUGAGAAUUUGCAUGGAACCUGUCUACUCUCUUUAGUCUUCAUAUACUUUCAUAGGAAACUCCCUAUCCAUGACAAGAGCAGCAAAUGGUAAAUGUUCACUGGAAAAAUAUUCAAUAUCUGAGGUCGAGGCUCGCUGGGUGAGGAGUCUGCAGAGGGGCCGCAGAGAAAAGAACUUCAACACCUCAUGUUCUUCAGCACUGCAUGGAAAGAAUAACAGUUCCAUCGAAGACUCUCCACAAGGUUUAGUUCUUGGUGAGCUAUUUCUGAAGUUAAUGUGCACAUAAGGGAAAGAUUUCCCCUGCUUUGCAAGUCCUGUCUAUUAAAGCUUUCUGCAAUGAGGAGACGGUAUUGCUGAAUGAUGUUUUUAUUGUUUUUCUAAGAAAUUGCCCAU